UUGGAGGGCAAGUCUGGUGCCAGCAGCCGCGGUAAUUCCAGCUCCAAUAGCGUAUAUUAAAGUUGUUGCAGUUAAAAAGCUCGUAGUUGAAUUUCGGGGUUCUACCUUCGGUCAGGCUAUCAAGUCUGUACUUGCGUGUAGAAUUUCUACCUUCUGGGGAACCAUUAUGUUAUUAAUUUAGCGUGGUGGGAAACCAGGACCUUUACCUUGAAAAAAUUAGAGUGUUCAAAGCAGGCUUAUGUCUGAAUACAUUAGCAUGGAAUAAUAAAAUAGGACGGUGGUCCUGUUUUGUUGGUUUCUGAAUCACCGUAAUGAUUAAUAGGGAUAGUUGGGGGCAUUAGUAUUCAAUUGUCAGAGGUGAAAUUCUUGGAUUUAUUGAAGACUAACUUCUGCGAAAGCAUUUGCCAAGGAUGUUUUCAUUAAUCAAGAACGAAAGUUAGGGGAUCGAAGACGAUCAGAUACCGUCGUAGUCUUAACCAUAAACUAUGCCGACUAGGGAUCGGACGAUGUUAAAUUUUAUUGACUCGUUCGGCGCCUUACGGGAAAC
This 547-nucleotide ribosomal RNA is filed under the name uncultured Glomus. RNAcentral describes it as "SSU rRNA". It matches the Rfam family "Eukaryotic small subunit ribosomal RNA", at positions 548 to 1098 of the family's 1831-position model. Lineage: Eukaryota; Fungi; Glomeromycota; Glomeromycetes; Glomerales; Glomeraceae. The record is from RNAcentral.